UACAGGGGGUGCAAACGUUGCUCGGAAUUAUUGGGCGUAAAGCGCGCGUAGGCGGUCGCUUAAGUCGGAUGUGAAAGCCCCUGGCUCAACUGGGGAAGUGCACCCGAAACUGAGUGGCUAGAAUACGACAGAGGGUCGCGGAAUUCCCGGUGUAGAGGUGAAAUUCGUAGAUAUCGGGAGGAACACCGGCGGCGAAGGCGGCGACCUGGGUCGAUAUUGACGCUGAGGCGCGAAAGCGUGGGGAGCAAACAGG
RNAcentral lists this ribosomal RNA (253 nucleotides) under uncultured bacterium. RNAcentral describes it as "partial 16S ribosomal RNA". It matches the Rfam family "Bacterial small subunit ribosomal RNA", at positions 524 to 776 of the family's 1533-position model. The record is from RNAcentral.